This 286-nucleotide unclassified non-coding RNA is filed under the name Chytridiomycota sp. RNAcentral's name for it is "partial contains small subunit ribosomal RNA, internal transcribed spacer 1, and 5.8S ribosomal RNA". The stretch from base 1 to 47 matches the Rfam family "Eukaryotic small subunit ribosomal RNA", at positions 1785 to 1831 of the family's 1831-position model. The record is from RNAcentral. Lineage: Eukaryota; Fungi; Chytridiomycota.
AAAGUCGUAACAAGGUAACCGUAGGUGAACCUGCGGUUGGAUCAUUAAUAAUGAACCACUCUUGGGUCGAGUCUUUGCUAGCUUGCUGGUAUUGAUUCCCCUCGAGUAUUAACCACUGUGCACUGUAUUGUUUUUUGGGGGAUGUUAGUGUGAUGGGUGAAAGUUUUGCGAAAGCUCGACCGAAACCAGUCCUGCCCCCAGCAUUUUAAAACCAACCUAUUUAAUCAACCUGAAUUUUUUCGUAAUGAAAUAAAUACAACUUUAGACAACGGAUCUCUUGGCUCUC